This 189-nucleotide microRNA precursor is filed under the name Oryza brachyantha (malo sina). Its description in RNAcentral is "MIR812 microRNA precursor family". It matches the Rfam family "MIR812 microRNA precursor family". Lineage: Eukaryota; Viridiplantae; Streptophyta; Magnoliopsida; Poales; Poaceae. The record is from Rfam by way of RNAcentral.
AAUAAGUACAUUUUUCAGUUUUUAGAAACAAUAUUUGACUCUUCGUUUUAUUUGAAUUUUUUACGAUUAAUAUUUUUAUUAUUAUUAGAUGAUAAAACAUGAAUACUAUUUUAUAUGUGACUAUUUUUAUAAAAAGUUUUUAAUAAAUUAUUUAAAUAAGACAUAAGAUCAAACGUUGGACAUAGAAAA